Molecule: long non-coding RNA, 504 nt
Organism: Homarus americanus (American lobster)
Lineage: Eukaryota; Metazoa; Arthropoda; Malacostraca; Decapoda; Nephropidae
Exons: 3
Source: RefSeq, a predicted model, not a curated record
UUGUUACUUGCUGACGGUCAGUCACUCAACGAUCAGUCAAUAUUGUCAAUAGCUGAAGGCAAGAGAACUGGGAUUGUGAAACGUUGUGUUGUGGGAUUUUGGUGUACGUGACGAAUUAAGAACGUUGUUUCUUUGUUGAUGUUAUAAUGUUAUUAAUGCGCUUCAACAACUAAGGUAUUUAAGCACGUAAUUAGGUAACAGUGAGGCAGGAUAUAGGGAAGAACCUUGAGGCUCUAAGAGGAGGAGGCUUCAGACAGUCCCAAGCUGCGAAGACCCACCACUACCACAAUAGAAAAGGCGAGGGAGAGGAGGGGGAGAACUUGGAAUUACCAUGGCGAAAGACUUUGAUGAAAUUCUGGAGAGUGUAGGAUCCUACGGUUACUACCAGAAGUGGCUAAUAUAUGUUCUCCUUAUGCCAGCAACCUUCUUUAGUGGAUUUACAAUGAACCUAAUGUUGUUCCAAGUGGUGGUGCCGGAUCACUGGUGUUACGUCCCAGGACGAGA